This 375-nucleotide long non-coding RNA is filed under the name Elaeis guineensis (African oil palm). RNAcentral's name for it is "long non-coding RNA (EGUI_LNC081854)". Lineage: Eukaryota; Viridiplantae; Streptophyta; Magnoliopsida; Arecales; Arecaceae. The record is from RNAcentral.
GGUGCCUUGGUUUGAGUUCACUACGUAUGUUGUAAUUGCGCCUUGAUUUGAUCUAGGUGAACUAAGGAUCUUUUUAGUAGAUCCAUGUUAAUUAUGGAUUUACAUCAGAUGUAAAUAAACAAUUAAAAUCUUAGAGAUCUAAAUUAAAAUCACCUCGCACAUAUUAAGUCUAGCAAUCUUCUACCAUUGUAGAUGUGUGGGCAUGCUACUGGUGUUGAUUGUUUUUGACUUGUCAUAGAAGUUUAGUUACAUCAAAAAUAUGGAACUACUCUAUUAGCAUUAGAUGCUCUGAGGCAGAAAUAGGGUUGGGCUUAAUAACUGCUAGGUGAGGGACCCAAUGAAAGCUUUGCAUCCACUGGUGAAUGGUGGAUCUGA